This 77-nucleotide transfer RNA is filed under the name Bacillus subtilis subsp. subtilis str. BSP1. RNAcentral's name for it is "tRNA-Pro". Lineage: Bacteria; Bacillati; Bacillota; Bacilli; Caryophanales; Bacillaceae. The record is from RNAcentral.
CGGAUCAAAACCAUUAUUUGAAAGCCGGGAGCUCAUACCCGACGCGGCUGUUUAAGGAUAUUUUGACACAGGCAGGA